Molecule: transfer RNA, 126 nt
Filed under: Klebsiella oxytoca
Lineage: Bacteria; Pseudomonadati; Pseudomonadota; Gammaproteobacteria; Enterobacterales; Enterobacteriaceae
Also listed under: 6 other names
Description: tRNA-OTHER
Rfam family: tRNA
About the family: Transfer RNA (tRNA) molecules are approximately 80 nucleotides in length. Their secondary structure includes four short double-helical elements and three loops (D, anti-codon, and T loops). Further hydrogen bonds mediate the characteristic L-shaped molecular structure. tRNAs have two regions of fundamental functional importance: the anti-codon, which is responsible for specific mRNA codon recognition, and the 3' end, to which the tRNAs corresponding amino acid is attached (by aminoacyl-tRNA synthetases). tRNAs cope with the degeneracy of the genetic code in two manners: having more than one tRNA (with a specific anti-codon) for a particular amino acid; and 'wobble' base-pairing, i.e. permitting non-standard base-pairing at the 3rd anti-codon position.
Source: RNAcentral
UGUGGUGUAGCUCAAAUGGAUAGAGCGCCCCUUAUGUGGGGAGUUGAGCACUAACCAAUGUUCGCAACACAGGUUAUCUCAUGCGGCCGGCCGGACGUUAUGCGGGUUCAAAUCCCGUCACCACAG